CCUACGGGAGGCAGCAGUGAGGAAUAUUGGUCAAUGGGCGCAAGCCUGAACCAGCCAAGUAGCGUGCAGGAUGACUGCCCUACGGGUUGUAAACUUCUUUUAUAAAGGAGUAAAGUGACGCACGUGUACGAUUUUGUAUGUACUUUAUGAAUAAGGAUCGGCUAACACCGUUACAGCAGCCGCGGUAAUACGGAGGAUGCGAGCUUUAGCCGAAAUUAUUGGGUUAAAGGGGUGCGUAGGCGGAUCGUGAAGUCAGUGGUCAAAUUAAGUGGCGAAACCCCUGCCCGCCUUGGAGACUGGCGAGUUAGAGUGAGAGAGAAGUAAGCGGAAUGCGAGGUGAAGCGGGGAAAUGCGUAGAUAUAAGGAAGAACCCCGAUUGCGAAGGCAGCAUGCCGGCUCCCGACUGACGCUGAAGCACGAAAGCGUGGGGAUCGAACAGGAUUAGAUACCCUUGUAGUC
Molecule: ribosomal RNA, 459 nt
Filed under: uncultured bacterium
Lineage: Bacteria
Description: partial 16S ribosomal RNA
Rfam family: Bacterial small subunit ribosomal RNA
Source: RNAcentral